AGUUAAACGACUAAGCGUACACGGUGAAUGCCACGGCGGUCAGAAGGCGAUGAAGAGGCGUGCUAAUGCUGCGAUAGCGCCGGUAGGUGAUAUGACGCGCAACCGGCGAUACCCGAAUGGGAAGCCAGUGAUUCGUCACUAUCAUUGUUAACUGAAUCCAUAUAGGUUGUAAAGGGCGAACCGGGAACUGAAACAUCUAAGUACCCGAGGAAAAGAAAUCAACCGAGAUUUAGUAGCGGCGAGCGAACGGGGAGGAGCCCAGAGCCUGAAUCAGCAUGUGUGUUAGUGGAAGUGUGCGGAAGGCGCGUACAGGUACGACGGCCGUACACAAAAGCGCAUAUUGCUUAUUGAGAGGAAACGAUGAGUAGGGCAGGACACGUGGUAUCCUGUCUGAAUAUGGGGACCAUCCUCCAGGCUAAAUACUCCUGACGACCGAUGGUGAACCGGUACCGUGAGGGAAAGGCGAAAAGAACCCGGCGAGGGAGUGAAAGAACCUGAAACCGUGUACGUACACCAACAGUGGGAACUGCGUUUGCCUGUGUGACUGCGUACCGCGCUGUAUAAUGGGUCAGCGACAUAUUCUGUAGCAGGUUAACCGAAUAUAUAGAGAGGCCGGAGGCUCAAGUCUUAGUAGACGUUAAGUUUGGGGGUAUGAGCCGAAACCCAGUGAUCUAGCCAUGGGCAGGUUGAAGGUUGGGUAACGCAACUGGAGGACCGAACCGACUAAUAUUUGAAAAAAUUGGCAGAUGACCUGGCGCAGGGUGAAAGGCCAAUCAAACCGGGGAGAUGCUGGUUCUCCCGAAAGCUUUAUUUAGGUAGCGCCUCGUGAACUCAUCUCCGGGGGUAGGCACUGUUUCGGCUGGGGGCCAUCCCGGCUUACCAACCGAUACAAACUGCGAAUACCGGAGAAUAUUAUCACGAGGAGACACACGGCGAGUACUAACGUCACCGUCGUGAAGAAAGCCAGCUUAGACCGCCAGCUAGGUCCCAAAAGUCAUAGUUAAGUGGGAAACGAUGUGGGAAGAGCCCAGACAGCAGGAUGGCUGGCUUAGAAGCAGCCAUCAUUUAAAGAAAACGUAACUCACUGGUCGGAGGAAGUCGGCCUGCGCGAGGAAAGAUGUAACAGGGCUAAACCAUGCACCGAAGCUGCGGCAGCGGCAACUUAUGCGUUGUUGGGUGAGGGAGGCGUUCUGUAGCCUGUGAAGGUGGCCUGUAUGAGGUUGCUGGAAGGUAUCAGAGAAGUGCGAAUACUGACAUAAGUAACGAUAAAGCGGGUGAAAAGCGCUCGCCGGAAUAGGGUUCCUGUCAACGUUAAUCGGGGCGGGGUGAGUCGACUAAAGGCGAGGCCGAAGGCGUAGUCGAUGGGAAGCAGGUUGCUAUUGUGCGGUGUUACUGCGAGAAGGGGGACGGAAGGCUAUGUUGGCCGGGCGACGGUUGUCCCGGUUUAAGCGAUGUGAGUGUGUGUUCACGAGGUAAAUCCGAGUUUCACUUUAACACUGAGGCGUGAUGACGAGGGCACUACGGUGCUGAAACAGCAAAUACCCUACUUCCGAGGAAAAACACCUCUAAGCAUCAGGUAACAUCAAAUCGUACUAAACCGACACAGGUGGUCAGGUAGAGAAUACCAAAGGCGCUUGAGAGAACUCGGGUGAAGGAACUGGGCAAAAAUGGUGCCCGUAACUUCGGGAGAAGGCACUGACAUGUAGGUAGUGAUUUACUCAUGGAGCUGAAGUCGUCGAAGAUACGCAACUGGCUGCAACUGUUUAUUAAAAACACAGCACUGUGCAAACACGAAAGUGGACGUAUACGGUGUGACGCCUGCCGGAAGGUUGGUGAUGGGGUCAGCGCAAGCGAAGCUCCUGAUCGAAGCGGUAAAGCGGCGGCCAGCCAACUAUAACGGUCCUAAGGUAGCGAAAUUUCGCUUGUCGGGUAGUUCCGACACGAAUGGCGUAAUGAUGGCGGCUGUCUCCACCCGAGACUCCAGUGAAAUUGGCUCUACGCUGUGAAGAUGCAGUGUACCCGCGGCAAGACGGAAGAACCCCGUGAACCUUUACUAUAGCGACUGAACAUUGAGCCUUGAUGUGUAGGAUAGGUGGGAGGCUUUUGAAGUGUGGACGCCAGUCUGCAGCCAGGGCAAACAGCAAUACCAGCAAUGUUUGAUGUUCUAACGUGAGACCCACGUGAUCCGGGUUGCGAGGACAGUGUCUGGUGGGUAGUUUGACUGGGGCGGUCUCCUCCUAAAGAGUAACGGAGGAGCACGAAGGUUAGCUAUCGAGGGUCGGACAUCAGGAGGUUGGUGCAAUGGCAUAAGCCAGCUUGACUGCGAGCGUGACGGCGAGCAGGUGCUGCUUUGGGUCGCCGUGAUCCGGUGGUUCUGAAUGGAAGGGCCAUCGCUCAGGGUUGAGGUUGGGGUUGGGCGGGGGUUUGGCGUGGAUGGGAUCAGCACCGAUAAUAAAGCUCAUCACAUCCUGGGGCUGAAGUGGUCCCAAGGUAUGGCUGUUCGCCAUUUAAAAGUGGUACGAAGCUGGGUUUAGAACGUCGGUUCGGUCCCCUAUCUACCGUGGGCGCUGGAGAACUGAGGGGAGCUGCUCCUAGUACGAAGAGGACGGGUGGACAUCACUGGUGUUCGGAGUUGUCAUGCCAAUGGCACUGCCCGGUAGCUAAAUGCGGAAGAAGAUAAGAGAUUAACGAAGCAUCUAAGCACGAAACUUGCCCCGAGAUGAGUUCUCCUGAGACUUAGAGUCUCCUGAAAGGGAACGUUGAGAAGACGACGACGUUGAUAGGCCGGGUAUUGUAGCGCAGCGAUGCGUUGGCUUAACGGUACUAAUGAACCGUGAGGCUUAACCUU
This 2848-nucleotide ribosomal RNA is filed under the name Salmonella enterica subsp. enterica. Its description in RNAcentral is "23S ribosomal RNA". It matches the Rfam family "Bacterial large subunit ribosomal RNA". Lineage: Bacteria; Pseudomonadati; Pseudomonadota; Gammaproteobacteria; Enterobacterales; Enterobacteriaceae. The record is from RNAcentral.